RNAcentral lists this ribosomal RNA (359 nucleotides) under uncultured bacterium. Its description in RNAcentral is "partial 16S ribosomal RNA". It matches the Rfam family "Bacterial small subunit ribosomal RNA", at positions 338 to 694 of the family's 1533-position model. The record is from RNAcentral.
CCUACGGGUGGCAGCAGUGAGGAAUAUUGGUCAAUGGGCGGAAGCCUGAACCAGCCAAGUAGCGUGCAGGAUGACGGCCCUACGGGUUGUAAACUGCUUUUAUACGGGAAUAACGCGCCUUACGUGUAGGGCUUUGCAUGUACCUUAUGAAUAAGGACCGGCUAAUUCCGUGCCAGCAGCCGCGGUAAUACGGAAGGUCCGGGCGUUAUCCGGAUUUAUUGGGUUUAAAGGGAGAGUCGGCCGCAUGUUCAGUGUGCUGUGAAAUGUCCGGGCUCAACCCGGGACUUGCAGCGCGAACCGGCGGGCUUGAGUCCGGGGGAAGCAGGCGGAAUUCGUCGUGUAGCGGUGAAAUGCUUAGA